This 77-nucleotide transfer RNA is filed under the name Erysipelotrichaceae bacterium. Its description in RNAcentral is "tRNA-Arg". It matches the Rfam family "tRNA". Rfam says of the family: Transfer RNA (tRNA) molecules are approximately 80 nucleotides in length. Their secondary structure includes four short double-helical elements and three loops (D, anti-codon, and T loops). The record is from RNAcentral. Lineage: Bacteria; Bacillati; Bacillota; Erysipelotrichia; Erysipelotrichales; Erysipelotrichaceae.
GCGCCCGUAGCUCAGUUGGAUAGAGCGUCUGCCUCCGGAGCAGAAGGUCGGGGAUUCGAGCUCCUUCGGGCGCGCCA